RNAcentral lists this non-coding RNA (102 nucleotides) under Moritella viscosa. Its description in RNAcentral is "Guanine sequence". It matches the Rfam family "Purine riboswitch aptamer". Rfam says of the family: Riboswitches are metabolite binding domains within certain messenger RNAs that serve as precision sensors for their corresponding targets. Allosteric rearrangement of mRNA structure is mediated by ligand binding, and this results in modulation of gene expression. Lineage: Bacteria; Pseudomonadati; Pseudomonadota; Gammaproteobacteria; Alteromonadales; Moritellaceae. RNAcentral also lists the same sequence under 1 other name. The record is from RNAcentral.
GCCCCGCAAGCAAUGUGACGUUGUAUAAUUUUGGCAAUAUGGGCCUUAAGUCUCUACUCUGAAACCGUAAAUUUCAGACCUACAAUGAAGCAGGAUAAUUGU